ACGGAAGGCAGCAGUGGGGAAUAUUGGGCAAUGGGCGCAAGCCUGACCCAGCGACGCCGCGUGAAGGAAGAAGGUCUUCGGAUUGUAAACUUCUUUUAUGUGGGACGAAGAAGAUGACGGUACCACAUGAAUAAGCCACGGCUAACUACGUGCCAGCAGCCGCGGUAAUACGUAGGUGGCGAGCGUUAUCCGGAUUUACUGGGUGUAAAGGGUGAGUAGGCGGGAUUGCAAGUCAGAUGUGAAAAUUAUGGGCUCAACUCAUGACCUGCAUUUGAAACUGUAAUUCUUGAGUAUCGGAGAGGUAAACGGAAUUCCCGGUGUAGCGGCGAAAUGCGUAGAUAUCGGGAGGAACAUCAGUGGCGAAGGCGGUUUACUGGACGACAACUGACGCUGAGACACGAAAGCGUGGGGAGCAAACAGGAUUAGAUACCCUGGUA
This 437-nucleotide ribosomal RNA is filed under the name uncultured Oscillospiraceae bacterium. RNAcentral describes it as "partial 16S ribosomal RNA". It matches the Rfam family "Bacterial small subunit ribosomal RNA", at positions 341 to 792 of the family's 1533-position model. Lineage: Bacteria; Bacillati; Bacillota; Clostridia; Eubacteriales; Oscillospiraceae. The record is from RNAcentral.